Molecule: non-coding RNA, 72 nt
Organism: Phrynosoma platyrhinos (Desert horned lizard)
Lineage: Eukaryota; Metazoa; Chordata; Lepidosauria; Squamata; Phrynosomatidae
Source: the annotation of a GenBank genome assembly
GCCAGGGCGGUGUAGUGGUUUGAGCACUGGACUAUGACUCUGGAGACCAGGCUUCGAUUCCCAGCUCAGCCA